Molecule: ribosomal RNA, 645 nt
Filed under: uncultured Actinomycetes bacterium
Lineage: Bacteria; Bacillati; Actinomycetota; Actinomycetes
Description: bacterial SSU rRNA
Rfam family: Bacterial small subunit ribosomal RNA
Source: RNAcentral
UGUUGGUGAGGUAACGGCUCACCAAGGCGACGACGGGUAGCCGGCCUGAGAGGGUGACCGGCCACACUGGGACUGAGACACGGCCCAGACUCCUACGGGAGGCAGCGGUGGGGAAUAUUGCACAAUGGGCGCAAUCCUGAUGCAGCAACGCCGCGUGAGGGACGACGGCCUUCGGGUUGUAAACCUCUUUUAGUAGGGAAGAAGCGAAAGUGACGGUACCUGCAGAAAAAGCACCGGCUAACUACGUGCCAGCAGCCGCGGUAAUACGUAGGGUGCAAGCGUUGUCCGGAAUUAUUGAGCGUAAAGAGCUCGUAGGCGGUCUGUCGCGUCUGCUGUGAAAACCCGAGGCUCAACCUCGGGCCUGCAGUGGGUACGGGCAGACUAGAGUGCGGUAGGGGAGAUUGGAAUUCCUGGUGUAGCGGUGGAAUGCGCAGAUAUCAGGAGGAACACCGAUGGCGAAGGCAGAUCUCUGGGCCGUAACUGACGCUGAGGAGCGAAAGCGUGGGGAGCGAACAGGAUUAGAUACCCUGGUAGUCCACGCCGUAAACGUUGGGCGCUAGAUGUGGGGACCAUUCCACGGUUUCCGUGUCGCAGCUAACGCAUUAAGCGCCCCGCCUGGGGAGUACGGAAUCUCUAGAGGAUCCC